GGUUGGCUAAUCCUGGUCGGACAUCAGGAGGUUAGUGCAAUGGCAUAAGCCAGCUUGACUGCGAGCGUGACGGCGCGAGCAGGUGCGAAAGCAGGUCAUAGUGAUCCGGUGGUUCUGAAUGGAAGGGCCAUCGCUCAACGGAUAAAAGGUACUCCGGGGAUAACAGGCUGAUACCGCCCAAGAGUUCAUAUCGACGGCGGUGUUUGGCACCUCGAUGUCGGCUCAUCACAUCCUGGGGCUGAAGUAGGUCCCAAGGGUAUGGCUGUUCGCCAUUUAAAGUGGUACGCGAGCUGGGUUUAGAACGUCGUGAGACAGUUC
Molecule: ribosomal RNA, 318 nt
Filed under: Escherichia coli
Lineage: Bacteria; Pseudomonadati; Pseudomonadota; Gammaproteobacteria; Enterobacterales; Enterobacteriaceae
Description: partial 23S ribosomal RNA
Rfam family: Bacterial large subunit ribosomal RNA
Source: RNAcentral